This 701-nucleotide ribosomal RNA is filed under the name Providencia stuartii. Its description in RNAcentral is "partial 23S ribosomal RNA". It matches the Rfam family "Bacterial large subunit ribosomal RNA", at positions 2230 to 2925 of the family's 2925-position model. Lineage: Bacteria; Pseudomonadati; Pseudomonadota; Gammaproteobacteria; Enterobacterales; Morganellaceae. The record is from RNAcentral.
GCCCCGUGAACCGGGGUGCGGACAGUGUCUGGUGGGUAGUUUGACUGGGGCGGUCUCCUCCCAAAGCGUAACGGAGGAGCACGAAGGUUGGCUAAGCAUGGUCGGACAUCAUGCGGUUAGUGCAAAGGCAUAAGCCAGCUUGACUGCGAGAGUGACGGCUCGAGCAGGUACGAAAGUAGGUCUUAGUGAUCCGGUGGUUCUGAAUGGAAGGGCCAUCGCUCAACGGAUAAAAGGUACUCCGGGGAUAACAGGCUGAUACCGCCCAAGAGUUCAUAUCGACGGCGGUGUUUGGCACCUCGAUGUCGGCUCAUCACAUCCUGGGGCUGAAGUAGGUCCCAAGGGUAUGGCUGUUCGCCAUUUAAAGUGGUACGCGAGCUGGGUUUAGAACGUCGUGAGACAGUUCGGUCCCUAUCUGCCGUGGGCGUUGGAAGAUUGAAAGGGGCUGCUCCUAGUACGAGAGGACCGGAGUGGACGCACCGCUGGUGUUCGGGUUGUCAUGCCAAUGGCACUGCCCGGUAGCUAAGUGCGGAAGAGAUAACCGCUGAAAGCAUCUAAGCGGGAAACUUGCCUUGAGAUGAGUCUUCCCUGACUCUUUAAGGGUCCUAAAGGAACGUUUAAGACGAAGACGUUGAUAGGCUGGGUGUGUAAGCGUAGCGAUACGUUGAGCUAACCAGUACUAAUGAACCGUGAGGCUUAACCUG